This 855-nucleotide ribosomal RNA is filed under the name uncultured bacterium. RNAcentral describes it as "bacterial SSU rRNA". It matches the Rfam family "Bacterial small subunit ribosomal RNA", at positions 644 to 1502 of the family's 1533-position model. The record is from RNAcentral.
GAGUACAGGAGAGGAAAGCGGAAUUCCUAGNGUAGCGGUGAAAUGCGUAGAUAUUAGGAAGAACACCAGUGGCGAAGGCGGCUUUCUGGACUGAAACUGACGCUGAGGCUCGAAAGCGUGGGGAGCAAACAGGAUUAGAUACCCUGGUAGUCCACGCCGUAAACGAUGAGUGCUAGGUGUCGGGGAGGAAUCCUCGGUGCCGCAGCUAACGCAAUAAGCACUCCACCUGGGGAGUACGACCGCAAGGUUGAAACUCAAAGGAAUUGACGGGGGCCCGCACAAGCGGUGGAGCAUGUGGUUUAAUUCGAAGCAACGCGAAGAACCUUACCAAGGCUUGACAUCCCGAUGACCGCUCUAGAGAUAGAGCUUCUCUUCGGAGCAUCGGUGACAGGUGGUGCAUGGUUGUCGUCAGCUCGUGUCGUGAGAUGUUGGGUUAAGUCCCGCAACGAGCGCAACCCUUAUCUUCAGUAGCCAUCAUUCAGUUGGGCACUCUGGAGAGACUGCCGUGGAUAACACGGAGGAAGGUGGGGAUGACGUCAAAUCAUCAUGCCCCUUAUGUCUUGGGCUACACACGUGCUACAAUGGCUGGUAACAAAGUGACGCGAAACGGCGACGUUAAGCAAAUCACAAAAACCCAGUCCCAGUUCGGAUUGUAGUCUGCAACUCGACUACAUGAAGCUGGAAUCGCUAGUAAUCGCGAAUCAGCAUGUCGCGGUGAAUACGUUCCCGGGCCUUGUACACACCGCCCGUCACACCAUGGGAGUUGGAAGCACCCGAAGUCGGUGACCUAACCGUAAGGAAGGAGCCGCCGAAGGUGAAGCCAGUGACUGGGGUGAAGUCGUAACAAGGUAACCA